RNAcentral lists this ribosomal RNA (492 nucleotides) under uncultured bacterium. Its description in RNAcentral is "partial 16S ribosomal RNA". It matches the Rfam family "Bacterial small subunit ribosomal RNA", at positions 29 to 507 of the family's 1533-position model. The record is from RNAcentral.
AGUGAACGCUGGCGGUAGGCCUAACACAUGCAAGUCGAACGGCAGCACAGUAAGAGCUUGCUCUUACGGGUGGCGAGUGGCGGACGGGUGAGGAAUACAUCGGAAUCUACUUUUUCGUGGGGGAUAACGUAGGGAAACUUACGCUAAUACUGCAUACGACCUACGGUUGAAAGCAGGGGAUCUUCGGACCUUGCGCGAUUGAAUGAGCCGAUGUCGGAUUAGCUAGUUGGCGGGGUAAAGGCCCACCAAGGCGACGAUCCGUAGCUGGUCUGAGAGGAUGAUCAGCCACACUGGAACUGAGACACGGUCCAGACUCCUACGGGAGGCAGCAGUGGGGAAUAUUGGACAAUGGGCGCAAGCCUGAUCCAGCCAUACCGCGUGGGUGAAGAAGGCCUUCGGGUUGUAAAGCCCUUUUGUUGGGAAAGAAAAGCAGCAGGUUAAUACCCCGCUGUUCUGACGGUACCCAAAGAAUAAGCACCGGCUAACUUCGUG